Molecule: transfer RNA, 68 nt
Filed under: Marmota monax (woodchuck)
Lineage: Eukaryota; Metazoa; Chordata; Mammalia; Rodentia; Sciuridae
Description: tRNA.Ala
Rfam family: tRNA (bases 5-65)
About the family: Transfer RNA (tRNA) molecules are approximately 80 nucleotides in length.
Source: RNAcentral
GGAUUGUGGCUCAGAGGUAGAGCGCUCGCCUAGCAUGUGUGAGGCACUGGGUUCGAUUCUCAGCACCA